Molecule: ribosomal RNA, 303 nt
Filed under: uncultured bacterium
Lineage: Bacteria
Description: partial 16S ribosomal RNA
Rfam family: Bacterial small subunit ribosomal RNA
Source: RNAcentral
AGCAGUAGCCACGGUAAUACGGAGGGCGCGAGCGUUACCCGGAUUUACUGGGCGUAAAGGGCGUGUAGGCGGCCUGGGGCGUCCCAUGUGAAAGGCCACGGCUCAACCGUGGAGGAGCGUGGGAUACGCUCAGGCUAGAGGGUGGGAGAGGGUGGUGGAAUUCCCGGAGUAGCGGUGAAAUGCGCAGAUACCGGGAGGAACGCCGAUGGCGAAGGCAGCCACCUGGUCCACUUCUGACGCUGAGGCGCGAAAGCGUGGGGAGCAAACCGGAUUAGAUACCCCCGUAGUCCCUGUCUCUUAUAC